GUAGGUGAACCUGCGGAAGGAUCAUUAACACGUUUCGUUCCAAACGUUUAUGACCCCCCUAUUUCUCGUGCACAAACAACAACAAAAACCCACCUGCCUUACCAAGCUGGCCUCUCUUCGGACGCGGGCUCUGCGUCGUGUUCUUACACGGCGAGUUCAUCCCGAACAAGAAGGGGGACACUGGCUUAGUUUGCGUAGGUACCACCCAACCCUUGAACCUAAUUGCUCUGAAACCCCUUUUCUUAGUUUUGCUUGCUCGUAAAGAGUGGGCGGAACUGGAAAAACAAAAAAACAAACAACAACUCUUAACAACGGAUAUCUUGGUUCUC
RNAcentral lists this unclassified non-coding RNA (329 nucleotides) under rhizosphere metagenome. RNAcentral describes it as "partial ribosomal RNA internal transcribed spacer region". The record is from RNAcentral.